CCUACGGGAGGCAGCAGUGGGGAAUAUUGGGCAAUGGGCGCAAGCCUGACCCAGCAACGCCGCGUGAAGGAAGAAGGCUUUCGGGUUGUAAACUUCUUUUCUGAGGGACGAAGAAAGUGACGGUACCUCAGGAAUAAGCCACGGCUAACUACGUGCCAGCAGCCGCGGUAAUACGUAGGUGGCAAUCGUUAUCCGGAUUUAUUGGGUGUAAAGGGCGUGUAGGCGGGAAAGCAAGUCAGAUGUGAAAACUCAGGGCUCAACCCUGAGACUGCAUUUGAAAUUGUUUUUCUUGUGUGCUGGAGAGGGAAUCGGAAUUCCGUGUGUAGCGGUGAAAUGCGUAGAUAUAAGGAGGAACACCAGUGGCGAAGGCAGAUUGCUGGACAGUAACUGACGCUGAGGCGCGAAAGCGUGGGGAGCAAACAGGAUUAGAUACCCCAGUAGUC
This 443-nucleotide ribosomal RNA is filed under the name uncultured bacterium. Its description in RNAcentral is "partial 16S ribosomal RNA". It matches the Rfam family "Bacterial small subunit ribosomal RNA", at positions 338 to 795 of the family's 1533-position model. The record is from RNAcentral.